CUUUUCUGUAAUGCGAACGUAAUUUUGUUGAUUAAAAACUUUACAUCAAAGUCAAUGCGUUCAAAAGAAAAGAAAUUAAAUUCGAAUUUCUAAAUACGAAAUUAAAAUAUUCUCUGGAAUUCAUAAACUUUAACCGCCUCGUCGUUUGUGGUGGUUUUUAAAUACGAAUA
Long non-coding RNA from Bradysia coprophila, 170 nucleotides. The record is from RefSeq and is a predicted model, not a curated record. NCBI's taxonomy places the organism in Eukaryota, Metazoa, Arthropoda, Insecta, Diptera, Sciaridae.